Molecule: ribosomal RNA, 305 nt
Filed under: uncultured bacterium
Lineage: Bacteria
Description: bacterial SSU rRNA
Rfam family: Bacterial small subunit ribosomal RNA
Source: RNAcentral
GUUACCUACGGGACGCAGCAGUGGGGAAUAUUGCACAAUGGGGGAAACCCUGAUGCAGCGACGCCGCGUGAGCGAAGAAGUAUUUCGGUAUGUAAAGCUCUAUCAGCAGGGAAGAAAAAAAUGACGGUACCUGAGUAAGAAGCCCCGGCUAACUACGUGCCAGCAGCCGCGGUAAUACGUAGGGGGCAAGCGUUAUCCGGAUUUACUGGGUGUAAAGGGAGCGUAGGCGGUUUAGCAAGUCAGAAGUGAAAGCCCGGGGCUCAACUCCGGGACUGCUUUUGAAACUGUUGAACUAGAUUGCAGGG